AAAUUGAAUACUAUGUUUUUUUUUAUAUAAAAUAACCGUUGUUUUUAGUAUUUGAGGGUUUAGGAUAUUUUCACUUGCAGUUUGAUUUCUCUGUAACCAUGGUUUUUCAAGCGCCAUUUGUGAAAAUCAUUAUAGGUUUUUGUUUUGAAAAUCUUUUUACUUUUUUUUUUUUGUGAAAAUCAUUUUACAUUUUUCCAAAUUUGAUAAAAAAUACAAACGAAGAACAAAAGGGUCUGGAAACACUUCUAUGUUUUUUUCUAUUUCAUCUUAAUAAGACAACAGUGGCUUUU
RNAcentral lists this long non-coding RNA (290 nucleotides) under Prunus persica (peach). RNAcentral describes it as "long non-coding RNA (PPER_LNC008040)". The record is from RNAcentral. Lineage: Eukaryota; Viridiplantae; Streptophyta; Magnoliopsida; Rosales; Rosaceae.